UAAGGAAUAUUGGUCAAUGGACGAGAGUCUGAACCAGCCAUGCCGCGUGAAGGAUGAAGGUCCUCUGGAUUGUAAACUUCUUUUAUAGGGGACGAAAAAAGGGAAUUCUUUCUCACUUGACGGUACCCUAGGAAUAAGCACCGGCUAACUCCGUGCCAGCAGCCGCGGUAAUACGGAGGGUGCAAGCGUUAUCCGGAUUCACUGGGUUUAAAGGGAGCGUAGGUGGGCAGGUAAGUCAGUGGUGAAAUCUCCGGGCUUAACCCGGAAACUGCCAUUGAUACUAUCUGUCUUGAAUAUUCUGGAGGUAAGCGGAAUAUGUCAUGUAGCGGUGAAAUGCUUAGAUAUGACAUAGAACACCAAUUGCGUAGGCAGCUUACUACGGAACUAUUGACACUGAGGCUCGAAAGCGUGGGGAUCAAACAG
This 423-nucleotide ribosomal RNA is filed under the name uncultured bacterium. RNAcentral describes it as "bacterial SSU rRNA". It matches the Rfam family "Bacterial small subunit ribosomal RNA", at positions 355 to 775 of the family's 1533-position model. The record is from RNAcentral.